Molecule: ribosomal RNA, 254 nt
Filed under: uncultured bacterium
Lineage: Bacteria
Description: partial 16S ribosomal RNA
Rfam family: Bacterial small subunit ribosomal RNA
Source: RNAcentral
UACGGAGGGUGCGAGCGUUAAUCGGAAUUACUGGGCGUAAAGAGCUCGUAGGUGGUUUGUCGCGUCGUCUGUGAAAUUCCGGGGCUUAACUCCGGGCGUGCAGGCGAUACGGGCAUAACUUGAGUACUGUAGGGGAGACUAGAAUUCCUGGUGUAGCGGUGAAAUGGGCAGAUAUCAGGAGGAACACCGGUGGCGAAGGCGGGUCUCUGGACAAUAACUGACGCUGAGGUGCGAAAGCAUGGGGAGCAAACAGG